GUGAAUCAUCAAAUCUUUGAACGCAAAUUGCACUCUCCUCGUAGAGUCUGCCUGUUUGAGGUUCAGCCUAUAAAAAUCGACAUCGCUGCUGCUUCGCGGUGGCGUUCGUCGGAAAUUGGGUCAUCUUACAUCCUUUUGACUUACGCGACUUAAAAUUUUCUUUUGGUUCCAUGCACGCUUCUAAGAUCUAUUUCUUUACACGUUUACGUUAUCGAUUUUUACUAGUCGUGCCCAUCAUAUCGGAUCGCUUCCCUACUCUUUCAUUACCUGACCUCAUACAGGUCAGAC
RNAcentral lists this unclassified non-coding RNA (288 nucleotides) under Glomus sp. Its description in RNAcentral is "partial contains 5.8S ribosomal RNA and internal transcribed spacer 2". The record is from RNAcentral. Lineage: Eukaryota; Fungi; Glomeromycota; Glomeromycetes; Glomerales; Glomeraceae.